Molecule: transfer RNA, 69 nt
Filed under: Antarctophthirus carlinii
Lineage: Eukaryota; Metazoa; Arthropoda; Insecta; Psocodea; Echinophthiriidae
Also listed under: 1 other name
Description: tRNA-Gly
Source: RNAcentral
ACCAGCUCAGCAUCUCUGCUCAUGCGCCUAAUUUCCACUUAGGAGAUUCUGAACUGCCAGAAGUUGGUA